UACGUAGGUGGCAAGCGUUGUCCGGAUUUAUUGGGCGUAAAGCGAGCGCAGGCGGUUCCUUAAGUCUGAUGUGAAAGCCCACGGCUCAACCGUGGAAGGUCAUUGGAAACUGGGGAACUUGAGUGCAGAAGAGGAGAGUGGAAUUCCAUGUGUAGCGGUGAAAUGCGUAGAGAUGUGGAGGAACACCAGUGGCGAAGGCGACUCUCUGGUCUGUAACUGACGCUGAGGUGCGAAAGCGUGGGUAGCAAACAGGAUUA
Molecule: ribosomal RNA, 257 nt
Filed under: uncultured prokaryote
Description: partial 16S ribosomal RNA
Rfam family: Bacterial small subunit ribosomal RNA
Source: RNAcentral